GAUGAAGAACGCAGCGAAAUGCGAUAACUAAUGUGAAUUGCAGAAUUCCGUGAAUCAUCGAGUCUUUGAACGCACAUUGCGCCCCCUGGUAUUCCGGGGGGCAUGCCUGUCCGAGCGUCAUUACAACCCUCAAGCCCGGCUUGUGUAAUGGGCGGCCGUCUCUCCCCCCGGGGGGAGACGCCCCCGAAACUCAGUGGGGAUGUCGCGAUACCGAAGCCUCAGCUAAUGGGUAAACCACAGCUGCAAUGGCCGCGGCCGGCGUCCGCCUUCCACGGUCCGUCCGCCUAGCGCGGGCGGCCUUCUCAAGGUUGACAUCGGAUCAGGUAGGGAUACCCGCUGAACUUAAGCAUAUCAAUAAGCGGAGGA
This 366-nucleotide unclassified non-coding RNA is filed under the name soil metagenome. RNAcentral's name for it is "partial contains 5.8S ribosomal RNA, internal transcribed spacer 2, and large subunit ribosomal RNA". The stretch from base 1 to 120 matches the Rfam family "5.8S ribosomal RNA", at positions 35 to 154 of the family's 154-position model. The record is from RNAcentral.